GCGGAGGAAAAGAAAAUAACAAUGAUUCCCCUAGUAACGGCGAGUGAAGAGGGAAAAGCUCAAAGUUGGAACCUGGUAGGCAUAGCUUACCCGGAUUGUAAACUAAAGUUUUCGAGUCGUUUAGUCAGCCAGGUAAAUAAGUCCUCUGGAAAGGGGCGACAUAGAGGGUGAAAUCCCCGUCUUUGGCCUGAGUUUUGAUUAGGCGUUUGGCUUGGAAACGAAGAGUCAGGUUGUUUGGGAAUGCAGCCUAAAAUGGGAGGUAAAUCUCUCCUAAAGCUAAAUAUUGACGAAAGACCGAUAGCGAACAAGUACCGUGAGGGAAAGAUGAAAAGCACUUUGAAAAGAGGGUCAAAAAGUACGUGAAAUUGCUGAAAGGGAACCGUAUGAAAUCAGAUCUACUGGUAGGUAAUCAAUCUUUCCUUUGGGAAGGAUGCACUUGCCUACUAUGUAUGCCAGCGACAUUUUGGUUGGGAGGAAAAAAAUAAAGGAAAUGUAGCUUAGGUUUCGGCUUAGGUGUUAUAGUCCUUUAUAAAAUACUCUCGGCUGGAAUGAGGAACGCAGCAAACCGUAAGGCGAAGAUUUCAGGCGCUUAGAGGGAAUAAUUAGAGAAUUUCUGCUUCGGGUGGUGCUUUGAUUAUUACCUUUAACACGCUUGGAGUUCUUUUAAUUUGCUUAGGUUGUUGGCUUAAUGAUUUUAUAUGAC
Molecule: ribosomal RNA, 703 nt
Filed under: Cunninghamella polymorpha
Lineage: Eukaryota; Fungi; Mucoromycota; Mucoromycetes; Mucorales; Cunninghamellaceae
Description: eukaryotic LSU rRNA
Rfam family: Eukaryotic large subunit ribosomal RNA
Source: RNAcentral